Molecule: ribosomal RNA, 413 nt
Filed under: Hubrechtella cf. dubia MLS-2006
Lineage: Eukaryota; Metazoa; Nemertea; Pilidiophora; Hubrechtidae
Description: partial 16S ribosomal RNA
Rfam family: Bacterial large subunit ribosomal RNA
Source: RNAcentral
GCCGCGGUAUCUCCGACCGUGCAAAGGUAGCAUAAUAACUUGUUCUUUAAUUGGGGACUAGAAUGAAGGAGAGUUUGAGAUUUUUUUUGUCUUAGAGUGUUUAUUAGAAUUUGCUGUUUUUGUGAAGAAGCAAAGGUAAAAAAAAAAGACAAGAAGACCCCGUUAAGCUUUAUCUUUUUUGGAUUUUUUUUUAGGGUAUUCGAAUUUAAGUAUUUAUCUUUAAAGAUUUGGUUGGGGCGACUAAAAAGGAUUAGAUCCUCUUUUGGGUUUAAAACUUAAAGUUUAAUAAUGAUCCAAAAUUUUUUGAUUGUUUGAAUCAGUUACUAUGGGGAUAACAGCGUAAUUUUUUCGGAGAGUUCUUAUUGAUGAAAAAGUUUGCGACCUCGAUGUUGACUUACUAUUUCCUAUAAAGG